Molecule: ribosomal RNA, 587 nt
Filed under: uncultured bacterium
Lineage: Bacteria
Description: bacterial SSU rRNA
Rfam family: Bacterial small subunit ribosomal RNA
Source: RNAcentral
CCUACGGGAGGCAGCAGUGGGGAAUUUUGGACAAUGGGCGCAAGCCUGAUCCAGCCAUGCCGCGUGUGUGAAGAAGGCCUUCGGGUUGUAAAGCACUUUCGGCCGGAACGAAAUCGCGCGGGCUAUUACCCCGCGUGGAUGACGGUACCGGAAGAAGAAGCACCGGCUAACUACGUGCCAGCAGCCGCGGUAAUACGUAGGGUGCGAGCGUUAAUCGGAAUUACUGGGCGUAAAGGGUGCGCAGGCGGCGUCGCAAGUCAGGCGUGAAAUCCCCGGGCUUAACCUGGGAAUUGCACUUGAAACUACGAUGCUGGAGUAUGGCAGAGGGAGGUGGAAUUCCACGUGUAGCGGUGAAAUGCGUAGAGAUGUGGAGGAACACCGAUGACGAAGGCAGCCUCCUGGGCCAAUACUGACGCUCAUGCACGAAAGCGUGGGGAGCAAACAGGAUUAGAUACCCUGGUAGUCCACGCCCUAAACGAUGAUGACUAGUUGUUGGAGGAGUUAAAUCCUUUAGUAACGCAGCUAACGCGAGAAGUCAUCCGCCUGGGGAGUACGGUCGCAAGAUUAAAACUCAAAGGAAUUGACGG